This 253-nucleotide ribosomal RNA is filed under the name uncultured bacterium. Its description in RNAcentral is "partial 16S ribosomal RNA". It matches the Rfam family "Bacterial small subunit ribosomal RNA", at positions 524 to 776 of the family's 1533-position model. The record is from RNAcentral.
UACAGAGGUGGCAAGCGUUGUUCGGAAUUACUGGGCGUAAAGGGCGCGUAGGCGGCUUAUCAAGUCAGGCGUGAAAUUCCCGGGCUCAACCUGGGGGCUGCGCUUGAUACUGAUGAGCUUGAAUGCGGGAGAGGAUAGUGGAAUUCCCAGUGUAGAGGUGAAAUUCGUAGAUAUUGGGAAGAACACCGGUGGCGAAGGCGGCUAUCUGGCCCGUAAUUGACGCUGAGGCGCGAAAGCGUGGGGAGCAAACAGG